CCUUGUUUCUUCUCCUUUCAGCUGUACAAGUAGAAUUCAUACCUGUGUGGAGUGAGAAAGGAAAGAGAAAGAAGAGUCAUUGUACACUAUGGAUCUUAUACAAUCUACUACAAGUGCUACAGCUUCAGAGAGGAGAAGAUGAGCUACAGAGACAGCAGAAGAAAACACUUUCUCUGCAACAGGAAAAGGAUGAUCAUCUUUUUGAGCUCCAUCCUCGAGAAAUUAGACUUAGCAGCUCCAGACUAAGCUGUGUAAAGUGAAAUGUGAGAUAAAAAAUGAGGAGCGGAAGUUGAAGAGCUACAGAAUGAACAGGAUAUAUCCAGCUAGUUAUAUGGGCAGGCCAGAUGUUCAGUUGGAUGAUACCAAAAAGGAACUGGAGGAGGUGCAUGCUGAUCUUGUCAUGGUCAUGCAGGAGCUUGAUUUGGCAAGAGCUGAAUUAAGGCAAUGUGUAUGAGCACCAUCUGAAUGAAUGCUACAAGACCAGCUGGUAUUUGAACCCUUUGUCAGGGUGACUAGUGAAUGUUUCCUACAAUUUUAUUAUUUUUAUUUUUCUUUUUUUUCCCAUAAAAUAAGGAAAUUUAAUUCUUAAUGUCUAGUUUUCCACCUGCUGGUAUAGGCUGACUUAUUUCAGGGCCACUAUUGUAUAUUUGACUAACAUAAGGUCAGGAUACAGUUUUUCGUAUGUAAACUUGCAAACGCCCUUUAUUCAUGCUCAUUUUCUUUAAAUAUGUAGCUCCAAAUGAAAGUUUCAAAUUUAAAAUCCACAGAAUACUUUAAUAAUGUGAAUCUUGGUAUUAUGAAAAAAUACAGGAAUUUUUUCUGAUAAAUCUACUUCACUCAUUAAUGCUGUAAUAUCAUUGGUAUAAGAAGCCCACUUAAAACAGAGAAAUGCUGACUUUCCUGCCUCUCCCCAAAAUUGUUACAUGUUCCAACUUAAUUUCAAAGACUCUAGAAACAUUCAGGUACUUUUCCUAGCUGCAGGAAGCAGCUAGUAGGAGCAGUAAGAGGGCAAAACAAAAUCUGAUUGUUAUAAGAUUUAUAGCUCAUUAAAGUAGUAAUAUAGUUAGACACAAAUCAUACUAAUUCUAGAGUACUGAAAGAUUAGAAAAGUAAUUAUUGAAUAAGAAAUAAUAUUUUUAAUUUUUUCUCCUUCAUUGUAAAUACUAGAUAACAAAUAUAUUAAAAUCUUUCAGUUGUGUUGAAAGUUUCCUUUUGAUGUGUUCUAAUUUCACUAAAAUGUAUACCAUUGACUUAUUUUAUUAGGUAUCCAUGUCAAUUUUAUUGUCAGUUUUAUUAAGUAAACAACUCAGCUAGUGAUUGGAGAAUUGAACCUUGGUAAACAGGGGAAAGCAAUGCAAAAAAUAUCAGUAUUAACUUAUUCAUAAACUCAGUUAGGCCUGACUUUUAGCUGGUUGAAUUUUCAUUCAGGGGUUAAAGUAUAAAAUUCUGAUCUAUUUCUAGAAAAGCAAUAGAAAUACAACUUAAUAAAAUAAGUAAUGGAUCUGCCAUAUGGCUGAUGCUAACAGAUUUAAUACACCCAGAUAUAGUCUGAGAAGUGAUAAUUUCAUAUUUGCAGGUUAAAAAAAAAAGAUUCAGUAGGUCCAAAAAGUUUGCAUAUUUGUAAUCUUAUGCAGAUAUAGUCACUUGUCUCCCAGUUCACAAAUUUGUGCAAAUCCUAACCAUUAUAAUGAAAAUUUACUAAUAACUUAAUUGUAUCACACACAUGAAUAUAAGCCAAUGUUACAUGAUUUAUUGUUUGCCUGUUUGCUUUGGAUUUUACCGCUGUAAUAUUCAAUAGUCCAAAAAUAUACACUGUGGGAUGCUGAUUGUAAAAUAUGAAGAGAAUGUUUUGGCUCAGGUUUCAUCACAGCCAUGUUGUAUAUUUUAUCAGCUAGAAAAAUUGUGUUAUGCUAAGGAACUUUACAAAAAGUUUCUUUCCCUUCAUUUAUUUUGUUAGCUUUUAUAUAAUAUUUUUUAUAAAUUAAUAUUGUAUAUUGUUUCAUCUCUUUUAUUCAUAUUUUAAGAGCUUCUAUUUAAGAUUACAAACAGCAAUAAAAUCAUUGCUUACUGAAGCAAGCAGACUUUGAAUCCGGCUAUGAACAUUAGAAGGAUGUUACACACUGCACACUUUUAAUAAUGAUCAUUUAGAAGAUAAUUUUAGCAUCCACACAAGGGAAAAAUGGAUUUUUGAUGAGUUCUUAUAUGACCAUAUGUGGUAUUAGUCAGUGUGAGGUAUUGCUAGCGAGCUCAUUGCUUUCAAAAAUCAAAGUUAAAUGGUUCAUCUAUCAUCAGAAUUUGUGUCUGGGCGACUUGUCUGAACAUCAGUAUGAUUUAUGGUUUGAAUUGGAGGAGUCAACCAUGCAUGUUUCUUAGUUUAUCGUUUUAUGCUGUCUUCAAUUAAAUGUCUAUAAACACAGUGAUGGCUUUAUGACAUUGUCCAUCAAUAAAGACUAUCAGAUUUUGCAUGAGAAUAUGUAAUUUUCAGAAAAAAUAAUGACCUUUUGACUUCUAUGUGCCCUGUUGUACACAUGAUAUAUACGGCAUGUUUAGACUUCA
Long non-coding RNA from Passer domesticus (house sparrow), 2556 nucleotides. RefSeq lists it as uncharacterized. The transcript has 4 exons. The record is from RefSeq and is a predicted model, not a curated record. Lineage: Eukaryota; Metazoa; Chordata; Aves; Passeriformes; Passeridae.